GAUGACAUCAAAUACCAACUACCCAUACGAAAUGGGCCAAAUGGCUGAUAAUGGGCAAGCUCUUGAACCAGAUUAUCUGGAUGUUCAUUCCAGCAAGAGAAGAGAACCUGAUUCAGGGCUUUCCUUAUCUUCUGGAGAAACACAGCUUGAGUCGGUGGAUAGAGGAUACCAAGUUGCCCCUCAACCUGAUACGAGCUUGCAACAUGUUACCUCUCAAUUUCAUGAUGCUCUAAGGAUUGGUUCCACUUCUAUUCAGCAUAACAAUGAAAAGGAUCAAAAUGAUUUGGGUG
Molecule: unclassified non-coding RNA, 290 nt
Filed under: Hevea brasiliensis (rubber tree)
Lineage: Eukaryota; Viridiplantae; Streptophyta; Magnoliopsida; Malpighiales; Euphorbiaceae
Source: RNAcentral